Molecule: ribosomal RNA, 484 nt
Filed under: uncultured bacterium
Lineage: Bacteria
Description: partial 16S ribosomal RNA
Rfam family: Bacterial small subunit ribosomal RNA
Source: RNAcentral
AUUGAACGCUGGCGGCAGGCCUAACACAUGCAAGUCGAGCGGAUGAAGGGAGCUUGCUCCUGGAUUCAGCGGCGGACGGGUGAGUAAUGCCUAGGAAUCUGCCUGGUAGUGGGGGAUAACGUCCGGAAACGGGCGCUAAUACCGCAUACGCCCUGAGGGAGAAAGUGGGGGAUCUUCGGACCUCACGACAUCAGAUGAGCCUAGGUCGGAUUAGCUAGUUGGUGGGGUAAAGGCCUACCAAGGCGACGAUCCGUAACUGGUCUGAGAGGAUGAUCAGUCACACUGGAACUGAGACACGGUCCAGACUCCUACGGGAGGCAGCAGUGGGGAAUAUUGGACAAUGGGCGAAAGCCUGAUCCAGCCAUGCCGCGUGUGUGAAGAAGGUCUUCGGAUUGUAAAGCACUUUAAGUUGGGAGGAAGGGCAGUAAGUUAAUACCUUGCUGUUUUGACGUUACCAACAGAAUAAGCACCGGCUAACUUCGUG